This is a long non-coding RNA of Trifolium pratense (red clover), 599 nucleotides long. RefSeq lists it as uncharacterized. NCBI's taxonomy places the organism in Eukaryota, Viridiplantae, Streptophyta, Magnoliopsida, Fabales, Fabaceae. The transcript has 2 exons. The record is from RefSeq and is a predicted model, not a curated record.
AUCACAAUUGUUUCUCAUUUGAUAUGUUUAAGUUCUCUAUGAUCAAAUGUUAAAAGAGAAAUAAAAAAAAAAAAAUAUUGAACGUCAAGUAAUGCAUUAAAUGAAAGAGACAAAACAUGAUAUUUUGAUAUACUUUAGAGCCACGUAACAAUAAUUUAUAUUUUAUAAAUAGUUUCUUGCAACUCCUAAACGCUAAAACUGUUUAGUUGAAAUUAGCAAAGUAUGAAUUUUUUUCUUAUAUAGUGAUCAAAUAAUUUUCGGUUUAUUACACAUAUACAAAGGAGAAAAAUAUGGCUCAAAUUCCAUAUUACUUUUAUAUUUUGAUCAUAUUUCUUUCACUAUUUCUUAUUGCAACUAGGAGUAGCAGUUACAUUAUACGUACUAAUUUUCCCUGCAAAAUACCUUUGGAUUGUCCUGAAAAUAUGUGUAAGCAUCCUCACAUACGUGUAAUUCCAUGGUGCGUUCAAGGUUAUUGUGAAUGCGCAUAAGUUUUACAGAUAAGUUCAGAAAUAAUUUUAUAUUGUUUGUACGUAACAGUAUAAUUUUAUUUAUACGUGUAAUAUUUGAUACUCUUAGAAUUUUUCUCACACUUUUCUUUA